Molecule: long non-coding RNA, 786 nt
Organism: Aedes albopictus (Asian tiger mosquito)
Lineage: Eukaryota; Metazoa; Arthropoda; Insecta; Diptera; Culicidae
Exons: 3
Source: RefSeq, a predicted model, not a curated record
GAUUUCUACUUGUCGAGUUCAUUUCUACCUCGUCAAGACACCCACCCUAAUUUUGGUUACAAAUUCCAUCUGGUUCUUACCUUGACUACACAUAACAUUGGACCAUUCGCAUAACUGUCAAAAUCAAAAUCAUUUUGCGCCAGAAAACUUACUGACGCGUUUCAUCAAGUUCUGCGAAGAGAUUUUUUUUAAGAAUUGCGUGCCAAAAAACUUCAUAAGUAUCCAAUUCCUGCUGGAUUUGUGGAGGUUCAUGGGGGGUCUCUGGAAUUGCCGUCAUAAACUUUUUGCUGCCUGGCAAAUAUGAAUGCAUUUAUAGGAGUCCUCUAGCUGCCAAAGCUGCAUCAUGAAGCUGCCAAAGAUCCCGAAGGAAUUCCUAGAUCUUCCAUCUGGUGGCAGGCUGCCAUCGCCAGUAUGAGUUUGCGUAUUGUCCAGUUUUCUUAACCUAUAAGUUAAUGUAAUGUGUUUUAUUUUUUGAAAAAUAAAUAGGGAAAGGGAGCUGGGGCAUGGUAGGAACCAGGGUAGGAGUGGUAAAGAGAUCCGCCCGGGUUGACAGUCCUCCAAGAAUCGUGCCUGCCGUGAAAGGAAAUCCGCCAGCGUGUCGACCAAGCGGCGUCAUAAAGUGAUCCAUCUGGAAGUUGCCACUAAUCCCAGAGUUCGCCAAUCGCAAAAAAAUCUGCCCGGAUGUUGCCUGAGUGUUAUCCAAACGGCGUCGUAAGGGAAUCCGUCCAGUUUUCAGAGAGUUUUGGAAUUCCGUCGGUGGUUUACACAUGUAAGUUCUGCAGUAAG